CACGGGGUUGCGAGCGUUGUCCGGAAUUACUAGGCGUAAAGGGCAGGCAGGCGGAUCCAUAAGUUUAUCGUUUAAGGCGUCGGCUUAACCGGCGUAGGGCGGUAGAUACUGUGGAUCUGGAAUGCGGUUGGGGAAGACAGAAUUCCUGGUGUAGCGGUGGAAUGCGCAGAGAUCAGGAGGAAUACCGAAGGCGAAGGCAGUCUUCCAAGCCGUUAUUGACGCUCAACUGCGAAGGUGUGGGUAUCAAACAGGAUUAGAUACCCUGGUAGUCCCU
Molecule: ribosomal RNA, 274 nt
Filed under: uncultured prokaryote
Description: partial 16S ribosomal RNA
Rfam family: Bacterial small subunit ribosomal RNA
Source: RNAcentral